ACAGAGUGCUAGCGUUGUUCGAGUUACUGGCGUUAAGAGUCUGUAGGUGGUUUGUCAAGUCUUUGGUGAAAGGCCGUGCUUAACCAUGGKAAUGCCAAAGAGACUGGCNGACUNGAGGCUGGGAGAGGGAAGCGGAAUUUCUGGUGUAGCGGUGAAAUGCGUAGAUAUCAGAAGGAAGGCCKGUGGCGAAGGCGGCUUCCUKGAACAGGCCUKACACUGAGAGACGAAAGCGUGGGGAGCAAACAGGAUUAGAUACCCUNGUAGUCCACGCCCUAAACGAUGGGUACUAAGUGUGGGAGGGUDAAACCUCCNDUGCCGCAGCDAACGCAGUAAGUACCNNGCCUAGGGAGUACGGCCGCAAGGU
Molecule: ribosomal RNA, 364 nt
Filed under: Leptospirillum sp. LfLa
Lineage: Bacteria; Pseudomonadati; Nitrospirota; Nitrospiria; Nitrospirales; Nitrospiraceae
Description: partial 16S ribosomal RNA
Rfam family: Bacterial small subunit ribosomal RNA
Source: RNAcentral